Molecule: long non-coding RNA, 271 nt
Organism: Oncorhynchus masou masou (cherry salmon)
Lineage: Eukaryota; Metazoa; Chordata; Actinopteri; Salmoniformes; Salmonidae
Exons: 3
Source: RefSeq, a predicted model, not a curated record
CCCCCUGGACUCAGAUAUAGAGGUAAUGUUACACUCCAUGGACUCAGAUAUAGAGGUAAUGUUACAGCCCCCUGGACUCAGAUAUAGAGGUAAUGUUACAGCCCCCCCUGGACUCAGAUAUAGAGGUAAUGUUACACUCCAUGGACUCAGAUAUAGAGGUAAUGUUACAGCCCCCUGGACUCAGAUAUAGAGGUAAUGUUACACUCCAUGGACUCAGAUAUAGAGGUAAUGUUACAGCCCCCCUGGACUCAGAUAUAGAGGUAAUGUUACA